UGGGGAAUUUUGGACAAUGGGCGAAAGCCUGAUCCAGCAAUGCCGCGUGUGUGAAGAAGGCCUUCGGGUUGUAAAGCACUUUUGUCCGGAAAGAAAUCCUUGGCUCUAAUACAGUCGGGGGAUGACGGUACCGGAAGAAUAAGCACCGGCUAACUACGUGCCAGCAGCCGCGGUAAUACGUAGGGUGCAAGCGUUAAUCGGAAUUACUGGGCGUAAAGCGUGCGCAGGCGGUUUGCUAAGACCGAUGUGAAAUCCCCGGGCUCAACCUGGGAACUGCAUUGGUGACUGGCAGGCUAGAGUAUGGCAGAGGGGGGUAGAAUUCCACGUGUAGCAGUGAAAUGCGUAGAGAUGUGGAGGAAUACCGAUGGCGAAGGCAGCCCCCUGGGCAAUACUGACGCUCAUGCACGAAAGCGUGGGGAGCAAACAGGAUUAGAUACCCUGGUAGUCCACGCCCUAAACGAUGUCAACUAGUUGUUGGGGAUUCAUUUCCUUAGUAACGUAGCUAACGCGUGAAGUUGACCGCCUGGGGAGUACGGUCGCAAGAUUAAAACUCAAAUGAAUUGACGGGGUCA
Molecule: ribosomal RNA, 572 nt
Filed under: uncultured bacterium
Lineage: Bacteria
Description: partial 16S ribosomal RNA
Rfam family: Bacterial small subunit ribosomal RNA
Source: RNAcentral